Molecule: ribosomal RNA, 477 nt
Filed under: uncultured soil bacterium
Lineage: Bacteria
Description: bacterial SSU rRNA
Rfam family: Bacterial small subunit ribosomal RNA
Source: RNAcentral
AGAAUCAACGCUGGCGGCGUGCCUCAGACAUGCAAGUCGAACGAUUAAAGCUCCCUUCGGGGAGUGCAUAAAGUGGCGCACGGGUGAGUAACACGUAAGUAAUCUACCCUCGGGUGGGGAAUAACAUCGGGAAACCGAUGCUAAUACCGCAUAAUGCAGCGGCACCGCAAGGUGACAGUUGUUAAAGAUUUAUUGCCUGGGGAGGAGCUUGCGGCAGAUUAGCUUGUUGGUAAGGUAACGGCUUACCAAGGCUACGAUCUGUAUCCGGUCUAAGAGGACGGUCGGACACACUGACACUGAAUAACGGGUCAGACUCCUACGGGAGGCAGCAGUCGGGAAUUUGGGCAAUGGGGGAAACCCUGACCCAGCAACGCCGCGUGAAGGAUGAAGUAUUUCGGUAUGUAAACUUCGAAAGAAUAGGAAGAAUUAAUGACGGUACUAUUUAUAAGGUCCGCUAAACUACGUGCCAGCAGCCGC